GGUAAAUUAAAAAAUCAAACGCAACCGUGCGAAGUUUAUAUUCUUAAUCUUAUCCAACAUUUUGGUUAUUAUUGCUUGUUUAAAUACUUAGCAGAAGGAACCAGUUUUUACGGCGAGUAGUGAUAUUCUUAUGCUGGAUUUUUAUUCUAUUUGACAUCGCUAGUGGUCUGACGUACGGUCAAACAAAAUGUUCAGAUGGAGAACAAUGUCGCAGUUUGUAUGGAGGAACAAACAACUGUUGCUGUAAAAAUGACACCACAAGUUCCACAAGUCAUUGACAUUCCCAUUCAGGAACAUCUCCAAAUGGAAAUGGAUUUCCAUGGUGGGGAGCUGUGAUUAUAGUUGUUCUGAUAGUUUGCACAGAAUAAAGAAACGACAGCCACACAAACAACUGUAGACAUGCUUUAGUUGUGAUAAUGCACAUCCGAAUACUUGGACACUAUUCUUCAAUGUUUCAACUAACUGAAUACAAUAUUACUACAAGAAUACUUUUUACAAUGGAAUUUGGAAAAUAACACCUGAUAUAGCAGAUCUCAAAUUGUCUCUAUAUAGAAGCAGUUAUAGACUUAAAUGACAUGAAGAAGAAUUUCGGAAUUAAGAAAUAAUACAUCUCAAACAGUGGAGGCAGUAAACCGUUUUCUGAGCUUCUCGGCCUAGAGUCGCCUACCCAACUUUCAAAACCUCACACAAAAGUCUGUAACCACACACCUGAAACAAAGAUAUUGCAACAUUAGCAUCACUGUAUGUCUAUCGUUACAAGCCAUCUGCAAUACAUCUCUAAUAUCUACUUUUCUGUUUACAAGACCAGAAUUUUGUGCUCUCCCGGUCGCGGAAACUGAUGACGAAAAAAGCUAAAUUUGCCAAUUUUCAAAUCGCUGUAGAAAAUUUCCUGCAAAUGAUAGCCCCAACUGCUACACUGUUCCAUACUCCAGCAACACUGUAAAAUCUGAAAAUAAUCUCAAAUAUAUGUGCCAUCCGUACCGUUUUUUCACUAUUCCAGUUUUCCUGAGGCCCCUGCUAAAAUGACAACCCCACUUUAAGCUAACUCAGAGGAAGCAUGUAUACGCACCUGCAAGUCGUUACAUCAUACUAUCAAGAUCAAGGCUACUCAACUGAUUUUCUUUAAAUAAGUGGAACUCAAUUCUAGCCGCUGAAACUUCAAUUAUAGCAAUUAUUAUUGUUUGAAACUUCAAAUAUCCACUUCAAUCCGUAAAUUGCCUCUUAUUUGUAAAUUUGACCCUGGCCAAUUCGACACUAACAGCUCAAAACUGUUUACUGCCUCCUUUUAUUACAAAUUAAAAUAUGUGGUUUCGGUGACGGGUUUUACUCGUCUGUGCUCAUUUUGUACAAUGAAUGAUUGGAGGGCAGCUUGUUUAUUAGUUUUAAAAAUACUGUAAAAUACGGACAUAAAAUUUAAUGAUAUUACAUGUGCAUUGGCUCAAACUCCGGUUCUGAGCCCCACCUUCCCGCCGUUUACUACACCUCUUAUUUAAAAAAAAAAUAAAAAAAUAAAAUAAAUAAAACAAAAACUUCACCUGUCAAAAACAAAUGCGCACAAACGGGUGGGCACAGUAUAAACCACAUAAUUUGUUUUGUAGCUGGUAUAUAUAUGAUUUUAAUUGAAAACAUUUAUGUCGUUUGCUUAUGUAUCAGUUUCUUCGAAUUGUUAUAGAUUUGAUGAUGUAUUUGUUUUAAUUAGCUAUGAGUUGUACUUAUCUAUUUUUAGAACUUGUUUACCGAAAAAUAAAAACAUCCUGGUAGUAACUAUUUUCCAUACUUAGAGCAUUAUAGAAAGUUUCCAGUAACCCUUUUUCCACAGAGAUACAUUUAGACAUUUUUCCGAAAAAAUAUGGAACAAGAAGAUACCACUAUAACUAUUUUACUUUACAUAACGGGAAUCGCUUUUCUGAUGAAUUAAAAUUUUUGGUAAGAAUGA
Mercenaria mercenaria is the source of this 1936-nucleotide long non-coding RNA. RefSeq lists it as uncharacterized. The transcript has 4 exons. The record is from RefSeq and is a predicted model, not a curated record. NCBI's taxonomy places the organism in Eukaryota, Metazoa, Mollusca, Bivalvia, Venerida, Veneridae.